RNAcentral lists this ribosomal RNA (260 nucleotides) under uncultured bacterium. RNAcentral describes it as "partial 16S ribosomal RNA". It matches the Rfam family "Bacterial small subunit ribosomal RNA", at positions 793 to 1055 of the family's 1533-position model. The record is from RNAcentral.
GUCCUGGCUGUAAACUAUGGACACUAGGUGUGGGGAGGUUCUCCUCCGUGCCGAAGGUAACCAUUAAGUGUCCCGCCUGGGAACUACGGCCGCAAGGUUGAAACUCAAAGAAAUUUACGGGGGCCCGCACAAGCGGUGGAGCAUGUGGCUCAAUUCGACGCAACGCGAGGAACCUUACCAGGGUUUGACAUGUUUUGGACUGUCCGGGAAACCGGAUUUUCUCGCAAGAGACCGAUACACAGGUGCUGCAUGGCUGUCGU